This 502-nucleotide ribosomal RNA is filed under the name uncultured Glomeromycotina. Its description in RNAcentral is "partial small subunit ribosomal RNA". It matches the Rfam family "Eukaryotic small subunit ribosomal RNA", at positions 591 to 1092 of the family's 1831-position model. The record is from RNAcentral. Lineage: Eukaryota; Fungi; Glomeromycota.
CCAAUAGCGUAUAUUAAAGUUGUUGCAGUUAAAAAGCUCGUAGUUGAACUUCGGGGUUUACUUAUUGGUCAGGCUUAAUUGUCUGUACUGGUGAGAUGAAUCUCUACCUUCUGAGGAACUUUCAUGCCAUUUGUUUGGUGUGAUUGGAAAUCAGGACUGUUACUUUGAAAAAAUUAGAGUGUUUAAAGCAGGCUAACGUCUGAAUACAUUAGCAUGGAAUAAUGAAAUAGGACGGAUUGAUUCUAUUUCGUUGGUUUCUAGGGUCACCGUAAUGAUUAAUAGGGAUAGUUGGGGGCAUUAGUAUUCAAUUGUCAGAGGUGAAAUUCUUGGAUUUAUUGAAGACUAACUACUGCGAAAGCAUUUGCCAAGGAUGUUUUCAUUAAUCAAGAACGAAAGUUAGGGGAUCGAAGACGAUCAGAUACCGUCGUAGUCUUAACCAUAAACUAUGCCGACUAGGGAUCGGACGCAGUUAAUUUUAUAAUGACGUGUUCGGCACCUUACG